CCUACGGGAGGCAGCAGUGGGGAAUAUUGCACAAUGGGGGAAACCCUGAUGCCGCGACGCCGCGUGAGUGAAGCAGUAUUUCGGUAUGUAAAGCUCUAUCAGCAGGGAAGAAAAUGACGGUACCUGAUUAAGAAGCCCCGGCUAACUACGUGCCAGCAGCCGCGGGUAUACGUAGGGGGCAAGCGUUCUCCGGAUUUACUGGGUGUAAAGGGGGCGUAGACGGCAGUGCAAGUCUGAAGUGAAAUGCCGGGGCUUAACCCCGGAACUGCUUUGGAAACUGUGCAGCUAGAGUGCAGGAGAGGUAAGUGGAAUUCCUAGUGUAGCGGUGAAAUGCGUAGAUAUUAGGAGGAACACCAGUGGCGAAGGCGGUUUACUGGACUGUAACUGACGUUGAGGCUCGAAAGCGUGGGGAGCAAACAGGAUUAGAGACCCCGGUAGUC
RNAcentral lists this ribosomal RNA (440 nucleotides) under uncultured bacterium. RNAcentral's name for it is "partial 16S ribosomal RNA". It matches the Rfam family "Bacterial small subunit ribosomal RNA", at positions 338 to 795 of the family's 1533-position model. The record is from RNAcentral.